This 110-nucleotide non-coding RNA is filed under the name Bacillus sp. (in: firmicutes). RNAcentral describes it as "Bacillus sp. TPP sequence". It matches the Rfam family "TPP riboswitch aptamer (THI element)". Rfam says of the family: Vitamin B(1) in its active form thiamin pyrophosphate (TPP) is an essential coenzyme that is synthesised by coupling of pyrimidine and thiazole moieties in bacteria. The previously detected thiamin-regulatory element, thi box was extended, resulting in a new, highly conserved RNA secondary structure, the THI element, which is widely distributed in eubacteria and also occurs in some archaea. Analysis of operon structures identified a large number of new candidate thiamin-regulated genes, mostly transporters, in various prokaryotic organisms. RNAcentral also lists the same sequence under 1 other name. The record is from RNAcentral. Lineage: Bacteria; Bacillati; Bacillota; Bacilli; Caryophanales; Bacillaceae.
ACAAGAAUGUAGGGGCACCGGUGUUGCCGGUUGAGAUAUUAUCCACGAGAUAAUGACCCUUAGAACCUGAUCUGGUUAACACCAGCGGAGGGAACAUAUUUAACAAAGCA